ACCCUUGUGGAGGAGGACGCCGAAGGUGGGGCUAAUGACUGGGGUGAAGUCGUAACAAGGUAGCCGUACCGGAAGGUGCGGCUGGAUCACCUCCUAACAGGGAGACAACAAAAUGUUUAAUAUUAUUAUUUUGUCACCUUAGGUCGAUCGGUAUCUCACAUUCUUGAUUUAUCAAGAAUUUUAUUUCCUAAGUUUUUCUAGGUCACACCCAUUAUUUUUCCUGGGCCAUUAGCUCAGGUGGUUAGAGCGCACCCCUGAUAAGGGUGAGGUCCCUGGUUCAAGUCCAGGAUGGCCCAUAUCUCUAUGUUGGGGGUAUAGCUCAGUUGGUAGAGCGCCUGCUUUGCAAGCAGGAUGUCAGCGGUUCGAGUCCGCUUACCUCCACUGAUUACCACCUCUUCCAUAUUUUUAGAAAGGAAAAUUUUGAGUUGUGAUCAAAUUCUGAACGAAUCUAGCUUCCUAAUGUAAUCAUUAAGAUGCUGGACUCAUUGAAUUAAUUUCAUUGAUUUCAGAGAACCUUGACAACUGCAUAGAUUAUUUUUUAAAGACAAUAAGCAUCUUUAAUGAUGCAGAUUUAUUAUUUGUGCUAAUGCAUUAAUAACAAUUCUAUUAAGCUGAUGCUUCAAUUUUUGAAGUUAUUGGUCAAGCUACAAAGGGCUCACGGAGGAUACCUAGGCACACAGAGGC
RNAcentral lists this unclassified non-coding RNA (684 nucleotides) under uncultured Prochlorococcus sp. RNAcentral's name for it is "partial may contain 16S ribosomal RNA, 16S-23S ribosomal RNA intergenic spacer, and 23S ribosomal RNA". The stretch from base 1 to 97 matches the Rfam family "Bacterial small subunit ribosomal RNA", at positions 1437 to 1533 of the family's 1533-position model. The record is from RNAcentral. Lineage: Bacteria; Bacillati; Cyanobacteriota; Cyanophyceae; Synechococcales; Prochlorococcaceae.